CCUACGGGAGGCAGCAGAGGGGAAUAUUGGACAAUGGGGGGAACCCUGAUCCAGCGACGCCGCGUGAGUGAAGAAGUAUUUCGGUAUGUACAGCUCUAUCAGCAGGGAAGAAAGUAAUGACGGUACCUGACUAAGAAGCCCCGGCUAACUACGUGCCAGCAGCCGCGGUAAUACGUAGGGGGCAAGCGUUAUCCGGAUUUACUGGGUGUAAAGGGAGCGUAGACGGCGAUGCAAGUCUGAAGUGAAAGGCGGGGGCCCAACCCCCGGACUGCUUUGGAAACUGUAUGGCUGGAGUGCAGGAGAGGUAAGUGGAAUUCCUAGUGUAGCGGUGAAAUGCGUAGAUAUUAGGAGGAACACCAGUGGCGAAGGCGGCUUACUGGACUGUAACUGACGUUGAGGCUCGAAAGCGUGGGGAGCAAACAGGAUUAGAUACCCCAGUAGUC
RNAcentral lists this ribosomal RNA (443 nucleotides) under uncultured bacterium. RNAcentral describes it as "partial 16S ribosomal RNA". It matches the Rfam family "Bacterial small subunit ribosomal RNA", at positions 338 to 795 of the family's 1533-position model. The record is from RNAcentral.